GACAGAGGGUGCAACCGUUGUUCGGAAUUACUGGGCGUAAAGCGCGUGUAGGCUGCUCGGAAAGUCGGAUGUGAAAGCCCUGGGCUCAACCUAGGAAGUGCAUUCGAAACUCCCGAGCUGGAGUCCUGGAGAGGAAGGCGGAAUUCUCGGUGUAGAGGUGAAAUUCGUAGAUAUCGAGAGGAACACCGGUGGCGAAGGCGGCCUUCUGGACAGUGACUGACGCUGAGACGCGAAAGCGUGGGGAGCAAACAGG
Molecule: ribosomal RNA, 253 nt
Filed under: uncultured bacterium
Lineage: Bacteria
Description: partial 16S ribosomal RNA
Rfam family: Bacterial small subunit ribosomal RNA
Source: RNAcentral